Molecule: long non-coding RNA, 615 nt
Organism: Gasterosteus aculeatus aculeatus (three-spined stickleback)
Lineage: Eukaryota; Metazoa; Chordata; Actinopteri; Perciformes; Gasterosteidae
Source: Ensembl
GCCGAAUCUAGCUUUUUGAAUAAAACAGAUAUUAAUAAUUGAAAAGCAUGUGAACCAACAUGUAUGGAGACAAAUGAAUGACAGCAAGGAAACUAGAAAGGGUCAAUUGCAGCAGCAAACAAUCAGAGGAAAAUGGACAGAUAUCGUUCCACAACGAACUGUGACGACAGAGAGCACGUCUUUAAAUGAGGAUUCUGCCUGAUGUCCUUUUUCUGCCUGCGGUCUGGUGAAAUGGUAACAACUCACGGGAGAGAGAAAAGAUCAGCGUGGAGAGACUUCAGCCUCCACUGAUGAUGCCCUGAAGGAGAGCCUGUGUGGGAUGCAUACCAAGCAGUGUGAGGCUGCUUUAGAAGCAAGCGGGCCAAAGAAGUCGAGAGGGGUAUCAAACACACCGCUGAAUAUGCAUAUAUAAAUGACCUGUUCGGUAAUCACCAACAAGCAUACAGCAGCUUUUCUGGGGGCUGUUUUGACACGGCUAGGCCACAGCCCCAUUAGUCCCAAAAACACAUCUUUCAAAACAGUGGUUUGAAGGCUUUUCUGUACACAAGAUGUGUUCCGUGAAUAGAAUGCAGUAAUCUAUGCACAGGCAUACAUUUACAGUGUGCAUCUUCAAAA